This 57-nucleotide transfer RNA is filed under the name Heterocephalus glaber (naked mole-rat). It matches the Rfam family "tRNA", at positions 8 to 63 of the family's 71-position model. Rfam says of the family: Transfer RNA (tRNA) molecules are approximately 80 nucleotides in length. Their secondary structure includes four short double-helical elements and three loops (D, anti-codon, and T loops). Lineage: Eukaryota; Metazoa; Chordata; Mammalia; Rodentia; Bathyergidae. The record is from Rfam by way of RNAcentral.
UAGCUCAGUGGUAGGGUGCUUGUCUAGCAUGCAUGAGGCUCUGGGUUCAAUCCCCAG